AAACUUUCAACAACGGGAUCUCUUGGUUCUGGCAUCGAUGAAGAACGCAGCGAAAUGCGAUACGUAGUGUGAAUUGCAGAAUUCAGUGAAUCAUCGAAUCUUUGAACGCACAUUGCGCCCUUUGGUAUUCCAAAGGGCAUGCCUGUUCGAGCGUCAUUU
This 159-nucleotide ribosomal RNA is filed under the name Exserohilum rostratum. RNAcentral describes it as "5.8S ribosomal RNA". It matches the Rfam family "5.8S ribosomal RNA". Rfam says of the family: 5.8S ribosomal RNA (5.8S rRNA) is a component of the large subunit of the eukaryotic ribosome. It is transcribed by RNA polymerase I as part of the 45S precursor that also contains 18S and 28S rRNA. Lineage: Eukaryota; Fungi; Ascomycota; Dothideomycetes; Pleosporales; Pleosporaceae. The record is from RNAcentral.